GUCGAGAAUCAUUCGCAAUGGGCGAAAGCCUGACGGUGCGACGUCGCGUGGAGGAUGAAGGUCUUCGGAUUGUAAACUCCUGUCAUGUGGGAUAAAUGGCCGGGGCACGAAUAGUGCCUCGGAAUGAUAGUACCACAGGAGGAAGAGACGGCUAACUCUGUGCCAGCAGCCGCGGUAAUACAGAGGUCUCGAGCGUUGUUCGGAUUUACUGGGCGUAAAGGGCGCGUAGGCGGUUUGAUAAGUCAGAUGUGAAAGCCCACGGCUUAACUGUGGAAGUGCAUUUGAAACUGUCAGACUUGAGUAUCAGAAGGGAAAGUGGAAUUCCCGGUGUAGAGGUGAAAUUCGUAGAUAUCGGGAGGAAUACCGGUGGCGAAGGCGACUUUCUGGCUGAAUACUGACGCUGAGGCGCGAAAGCGUGGGGAGCAAACA
RNAcentral lists this ribosomal RNA (429 nucleotides) under uncultured prokaryote. RNAcentral describes it as "bacterial SSU rRNA". It matches the Rfam family "Bacterial small subunit ribosomal RNA", at positions 354 to 774 of the family's 1533-position model. The record is from RNAcentral.